This 675-nucleotide long non-coding RNA is filed under the name Brassica rapa (field mustard). Its description in RNAcentral is "long non-coding RNA (BRAP_LNC004379)". The record is from RNAcentral. Lineage: Eukaryota; Viridiplantae; Streptophyta; Magnoliopsida; Brassicales; Brassicaceae.
UCAGGUUGUGUUCAGUUUAAACGUUUAGGUAUAGUAUUUUCUCUAAUCCUAUGUAAAAAAUAUAAAAUAUAAGAAAUAUAAAUAUUAUUCUAAUUAUAUCAUUAGAAUAAGUAAAUAUAAAAUAUAAGAAAAAUAAAAAAUAGGUAAAUAUAAAAUAUAAGAAUUAGACAAACUAAAUUAAACAUAUAUCAUGAAAAUGUAUAUUAAAAAAUAAUAAGUAAAUAUAAAAUAAAAAAAAUAGAAAUAUUACAUUAAACAUCUAUAGUAAUAUUACAAUUUGAUAUAAAAGAAAAAACAAUUAGAAUAAGUAAAUAUACAAUUUAAGGUUUUUUGCAGAAUUGACCUACAACUUAAAGUUAAACACAAAACUAACCUCCAUUUUUUUUGGAAAUUGGUUUUGCCCUAUUCACCCCACAAGUUCAUAUAAUUCACAAAAAUGCCAUCAACUUUUUUUUUUUUUUACGAAAUGACAUUUUUACUCUCUCACCCUCAUCAUCUUCAAGUAAUUACAAGAUUGCAAUUGUCAUCAAUAUCCUAACCACCAUGAACAACCAAUCUGAAGCUCUUAAUGCUCCCAAAAUCGAGUUACCCUUCUUCUUUUUUCAUUCUUAUGAACUAAACACAACAUAUCUCUCACUUUCUAUCCACAUUGAGCUAAAAAAACCCAAGAUUUUG